Molecule: long non-coding RNA, 263 nt
Filed under: Mytilus galloprovincialis (Mediterranean mussel)
Lineage: Eukaryota; Metazoa; Mollusca; Bivalvia; Mytilida; Mytilidae
Source: RNAcentral
GCCUCUGCUGAAUAACCUGUUGCGACGACCAUUUGAUUUUGUGGGAGGGGCAGGUUUUUUUUUUUUUUUUUAAUUUAUAAACUUUGCACAAGACAGGAUGAAAAUGUACACUCACAAGGCAGACUUUUUGAUUUCGAGUUAAAUGAUCAUUUCAUUAAGGGCAAUAUUCAAAUUGCAUAGAACUUCAAGUGAGAGAAAAAGACACCCGUUCAAGUUAAAUACUGGUUGAUACUUUUUGUAUUCAUCAGAAAAUUAUAAUUACG